Molecule: ribosomal RNA, 445 nt
Filed under: uncultured bacterium
Lineage: Bacteria
Description: bacterial SSU rRNA
Rfam family: Bacterial small subunit ribosomal RNA
Source: RNAcentral
AACGCGAAGAACCUUACCUGGGCUUGAACUACCGAAAGUAAAAUUCCGGAAACGGAAGAUGACCUGUAAAAUCAGGGAUCGGCAGAGGUGCUGCAUGGUUGUCGUCAGCUCGUGUCGUGAGAUGUUGGGUUAAGUCCCGCAACGAGCGCAACCCUUGUCCUGUGUUGCCAUCAUUCAGUUGGGAACUCGCAGGAGACCGCCAGGGAUAACCUGGAGGAAGGUGGGGAUGACGUCAAGUCCUCAUGGCCUUUAUGUCCAGGGCUACACACGUGCUACAAUGGACGGUACAAAGGGCUGCCAACCCGCAAGGGGGAGCCAAUCCCAAAAAACCGUUCUCAGUUCGGAUUGCAGGCUGCAACUCGCCUGCAUGAAGCUGGAAUCGCUAGUAAUGGUGGAUCAGAACGCCACCGUGAAUACGUUCCCGGGCCUUGUACACACCGGCUAC